Molecule: RNA transcript, 11006 nt
Organism: Anolis carolinensis (green anole)
Lineage: Eukaryota; Metazoa; Chordata; Lepidosauria; Squamata; Anolidae
Gene: acsf3
Gene name: acyl-CoA synthetase family member 3
Exons: 11
Source: RefSeq, a predicted model, not a curated record
CUUUUAGGAAACGGACUUCCGGUUUUUCCACAGAGGAGCGCCAUCGCCCUUCGAAGCCGGGCGGGAAGAAGAAGAGCGGAAGAAGAGGAAGAGCCUCAGCAAAAAUGUUGGUGUUUUCUAAAGGGCGUUCCCUGAUCCGGUUGUUUGCUCGCCGUUCUUCUCUCCUGGGAUGGACCUGCUCUGGAUUUAGGACUUCUUUCUGUGUCUCUAAAGGUCUUCAUUCCAGCUACGGACACGUUUCCCCUGUCUUCACUAGAGCUCUGGCGUUUGGAGAGAAAACUGCCAUUGUGGACCGAAAUGGAGAGCAUACCUAUCGAGAGGUCUAUGCCCGAAGCCUCCAACUCUCCCAGAGAAUCUGUAAGACUCUCGGGAACGUGAGCGGAGACCUGAAAGGAGAAAGGAUUGCCUUUUUGUGCCCCAAUGAUGCCUCCUAUGUUACAGCCCAGUGGGCGUCCUGGAUGAGUGGCGCCAUUGCUGUUCCUCUCUACCAAAAACACCCCACACCAGAACUGGAGUAUUUCAUCCAGGACUCACAAAGCGCCCUCCUGGUUGUAGAGGAAGGCUACUUGGACAAAGUCACUCCAAGUGCAGAGAAACUUGGGAUCCCGGUGCUCCCCCUUCUUGGCUCUGGGAAGUCGGACUCGGUGGCAAAUGGGUCCUUUUUAGAAGCUGGCUGUCCCAUUUCGGAGUGGAAGGACCGGUGCGCCAUGAUCGUCUACACAAGUGGCACAACCGGGAGGCCCAAAGGAGUCCUCAGCACCCACCAGAACCUUCAAGCAGUGAUCACUGGGCUGGUGGACAAAUGGGACUGGACCAAGGAUGAUGUGAUUCUCCAUGUGCUGCCUCUUCACCAUGUCCACGGCAUUGUCAACAAGCUCCUGUGUCCCCUCUGGGUGGGCGCCACUUGCGUCAUGCUCCCUGAAUUCAAUGCGCAGACGGUUUGGGAGACGUUCCUGAACCCCCAAGCCCACCGGGUCAACGUCUUCAUGGCCGUGCCGACCAUUUACGCCAAACUGACGGAGUAUUAUAGCCAGCACUACGCUCAGCCUCAUGUCCAGGAUUUCAUCCGCGCUGUUUGCCACAAUAACAUUCGGUUGAUGGUCUCUGGGUCUGCGGCCCUCCCUGUUCCCGUCCUGGAGAAAUGGAAGAGCAUCACGGGGCACACGCUGCUGGAGAGAUACGGCAUGACGGAGGUCGGGAUGGCCCUUUCCAACCCUCUGCGAGGCCCUCGGGUCCCAGGAUCAGUGGGGAAUCCGCUGCCUGGGGUAAAAGUCCGCAUUGCCACAGAAAGCUUGCAAAGAGAUGUUCCAGCUUAUACUGUCCACGCAGAAGGAGACGAGGAUGGCACCAAGGUGACUCCCGGUUUGGAGGACAAGGAAGGGGAGCUCUUUGUGAAGGGGCCGACAGUGUUUCGGGAAUACUGGAACAAACCCACGGAGACCAAGGAUGCUUUUACUCCCGACGGCUGGUUCAAAACAGGAGACACAGCUGUGUAUAAAGAUGGCACCUACUGGAUCCGAGGACGCACCUCUGUCGACAUUAUCAAAAGCGGCGGAUACAAAAUCAGCGCCUUGGAAGUGGAACGGCAUUUGUUGGCCCACCCGAGCAUUGCUGAUGUGGCGGUGAUUGGGGCCCCAGACCCGAUGUGGGGCCAGAGGGUCAGUGCGGUGGUCGAGCUCCAACAAGGCCAUACGUUGUCGCUCAAGGAGCUGAAGGAAUGGGCAAGGAAGUCCAUGGCGUCCUACACCAUCCCUUCCGAGCUCCUUCUGGUGGAGGAGAUCCCGCGGAACCAAAUGGGCAAAGUGGACAAGAAGCAGCUCCUCAGGCACUUCUACUCAUCCAUUUAAGAGAACUGCUUUGGCAGCCUUGGCCCGAAAGAGACCAAACAACGGCAAUCAGGUUCUUCCAAAACAGCAAUUGGAUCCUGCUCUCUUCCCAGGUCACUUUCAGCCUUAUCAUCAUGUCAAAGGUCUUUCCUGCAGUCCUGGGUCCACAAACCACUGAAGGCCCUGACCAUCAUCUAACAGCCCAUUGGUGACUUAUACAGGUAUAAUAUCUAAGGAAUCCCUCAUUCUAAUCCUAUUUUCUAGUCUGGCUACUACUACUAUGAGUAGAUCAAUAGGAACCGCUCCGGCGGGAAGGUAACGGUGCUCCAUGCAGUCGUGCCAGUGGCCACAUGACCUUGGAGGUGUCUAUGGACAACGCCGGCUCUUUGGCUUAGAAAUGGAGAUGAGCACCAACCCCCAGAGUCGAAUACGACUGGACUUAACAUCAGGGGGAACCUUUACCUUUACCUACUAUAUCAUAUAUGAGAUUUCACCUUGGAAGGUCCUUAGGGACUUAACGUCAGGGGAUACCUUUUCCUUUACCUGCUACUACUACUACUACUACCAAUAAUAAUAAUAGUAAUAAUAAUAUCUUUAUUCUUGUAUCCUGCCCCAUCUCCGCGAGGGGACUCAGGGCGGCUCACUUGGGGACCAGGCCCAACAAUAUAUAAUAAAAUAAAACAAUAUAAAAUACAUACCAAUCACAACAAAUUAAUGUAUCAAAACUGUAAAACACAACAUCACUUAGUGAUUCCACCCACGAAAGCCUUUGACAACACAACAACAACAACAACAACAACAACAACUAGUAGUAGUAGUAGUAGUAGUGUAAGACAAGGUGACCAAUACCGCCCACCCGGAACGGGCCAAAAGAACAACAGCCUUUAGAUCCUCCGUCCCCCAUCUGUCACUGUGCCAAAUCCCGGACGAGCCCCCAGAUUUAUGUAAGACAAUUUAUCUCAAAAAGGAGUUCUGGCAAAGGAGGCAAUGAGACAGAAAAUCCAGUCUCAUGAGAGUACAAAAACAAAGUUUAUUUUCACAUAGCUAUGAGAAGGCGGGACAGCCGUACACCCCAAAAGGUUUGUACUUGCAAAUGGCUGCCGCGAAGCGUGGCGUUGUAAACAAAGGAUAUAUAACUCAGCUUAUCUAAACUUGACCAAUUACUGAGGGUCUUCUUCACCUCCACACUUCUUUGGCACAAGUGGUGUCUAUGAUCUCACUUGUUGAUCUCAAGCUAGCAUUUGGCCUUGGAACUUUCUGGAGAAAGGUACCAGCUCAAGAGAAAGGGAGGAGCACAGGUCCUUUGUUACUUUGGCUCAUACAAAGAGUGAUGGGGGAGGGGGGGGGUUAAAUCAGCUCUGCACCACCCUGAUUUAUUGGUGAUCCAGGCCUCUUACCAAUCCAUCCUCAGUCAGACUGCUUGACCGUCUGGAUAAGCAGCACCGACAAACGACACCACAGUCGUUAAUCAGCUGUACACAGCGGUUCUAAGACUUUAUUAUUUACAAGUAUAUACAACUACAAAGCCCAUCACUCAUAGGACACAUGCUUUCUUAAACAAAGCAAAACACUUCCUCUCUCUUUGCAACAGCACAUUCCACAGCAGAAUGACAAACGUCUCCAGAGACCGGAAGUCACGACCUAUUGGCUCAGCAGACUAUCACUCAAACUGGCCUGCCGUUAACACUUGUGCUGCUAGAAAGCAUGUCCGGAAUACACAGUUGUAAACCUCCAACAGUAAAACACUUGAUUCAUCAUUUCACCCUUACACCAAAAUACACCAACAAAGAACUCGUUGUCUAUAUGAAGCUAAUAUGAUAUAAACAGAGGCAAAGCUAUAUAUUAGACAUGUCCAAAAUAUCGUUUUGAAUCGUAUAUCGGAAUUAUUUUGGAUUGUUCUCGCUUUUUGAUACGCAUUCUGAUACAUUGUCUCACAGCGCAACCAGCAAUGUAAUUCGAACCAUUGUUGGCCCAUUCUCUAAUUGUCUCUUAAUGUUUCGUUAAUUCCCCCCCCCCAAAUUUUUUAAAAUAUAUUUUUUAAAAUAUAUAUUUUUUAAUUUUUGUUUCUGCAACCUACGUAGAAUGGGAGCUUAGCGCAGCCUAACAUGGCUGCCGCUACCCGGCCAAUCAGAAGCUUCCACGAUGGACGCAAAGGUGGAGGCGAGGGUUGAUGAGGAUAGCUCAAGAAAUGAGGGUGGGAGAACCCUGGAAAAGUCCUCCCCGGUUCCUUUUUUUUUGGCGAUUGCGUGUGCACGUCCGCCAUUUUAAAAACAUUUAGAAUCAUUACGAAUUUUUGGAAAUAUCUGAAAUUUUGGGGUGAAAAAAUCGGAAAUACUUUCUAUAUCGAAGCGCCAGCGCCCCUUACUUUAGAAACGAGAAUUGAAACAUUUUUUUCAUCGAUCGGACAUGUCUACUAUAUAUAUGCAGAAGUCUACUAAUUUCUGGCCCAUGGUCCCUUCAGUAGUAGUAGUAGUGUUUGGUUCUUUCACUCCCUGUGUCUUUUGAAUCAGCUUCUCAGCUUGCACACAUUUUAUGCAAUUACCAUCAUCGCUUUGGGGAGGAACGGUCAAGGCACAACCCAGGUUGGCUGUUCUCUAAAUGGGGCUCCGGGACCCUCCUGGGAUUUGGGGUCUGGGUACUGGGAUCAUUUGUUUUUAUACAAUUACCAUCCUUGCUUUGGGGAGGAACGGUUAAGGCACAAUCCAGGUUGGCUGUUCUCUAAAUGGGGCUCCGGGACCGUCCUGGGAUUUGGGGUCUGGGUACUGGGAUCAUUUGUUUUUAUACAAUUACCAUCUUCGCUUUGGGGAGGAACGGUCAAGGCACAACCCAGGUUGGCUGUUCUCUAAACGGGGCUCCGAGACCGUCCUGGGAUUUGGGGUCUGGGUACUGGGAUCAUUUGUUUUUAUACAAUUACCAUCCUCGCUUUGGGGAGGAACGGUCAAGGCACAAUCCAGGUUGGCUGUUCUCUAAAUGGGGCUCCGAGACCGUCCUGGGAUUUGGGGUCUGGGUACUGGAAUCAUUUGUUUUUAUACAAUUACCAUCUUCGCUUUGGGGAGGAACGGUCAAGGCACAACCCAGGUUGGCUGUUCUCUAAACGGGGCUCCGGGACCGUCCUGGGAUUUGGGGUCUGGGUACUGGAAUCAUUUGUUUUUAUACAAUUACCAUCCUCGCUUUGGGGAGGAACGGUCAAGGCACAACCCAGGUUGGCUGUUCUCUAAACGGGGCUCCGAGACCGUCCUGGGAUUUGGGGUCUGGGUACUGGGAUCAUUUGUUUUUAUACAAUUACCAUCCUCGCUUUGGGGAGGAACGGUCAAGGCACAAUCCAGGUUGGCUGUUCUCUAAAUGGGGCUCCGGGACCGUCCUGGGAUUUGGGGUCUGGGUACUGGGAUCAUUUGUUUUUAUACAAUUACCAUCCUCGCUUUGGGGAGGAACGGUCAAGGCACAACCCAGGUUGGCUGUUCUCUAAACGGGGCUCCGAGACCGUCCUGGGAUUUGGGGUCUGGGUACUGGGAUCAUUUGUUUUUAUACAAUUACCAUCCUCGCUUUGGGGAGGAAUGGUCAAGGCACAAUCCAGGUUGGCUGUUCUCUAAAUGGGGCUCCGAGACCGUCCUGGGAUUUGGGGUCUGGGUACUGGAAUCAUUUGUUUUUAUGCAAUUACCAUCCUCGCUUUGGGGAGGAACGGUCAAGGCACAAUCCAGGUUGGCUGUUCUCUAAAUGGGGCUCCGGGACCGUCCUGGGAUUUGGGGUCUGGGUACUGGAAUCAUUUGUUUUUAUGCAAUUACCAUCCUCGCUUUGGGGAGGAACGGUCAAGGCACAAUCUAGGUUGGCUGUUCUCUAAAUGGGGCUCCGGGACCGUCCUGGGAUUUGGGGUCUGGGUACUGGAAUCAUUUGUUUUUAUGCAAUUACCAUCCUCGCUUUGGGGAGGAACGGUCAAGGCACAAUCUAGGUUGGCUGUUCUCUAAAUGGGGCUCCGGGACCGUCCUGGGAUUUGGGGUCUGGGUACUGGAAUCAUUUGUUUUUAUGCAAUUACCAUCCUCGCUUUGGGGAGGAACGGUCAAGGCACAAUCCAGGUUGGCUGUUCUCUAAAUGGGGCUCCGGGACCGUCCUGGGAUUUGGGGUCUGGGUACUGGGAUCAUUUGUUUUUAUACAAUUACCAUCAUCACUUUGGGGAGGAACGGUCAAGGCACAACCUAGGUUGGCUGUUCUCUAAACGGGGCUCCGGGACCGUCCUGGGAUUUGGGGUCUGGGUACUGGAAUCAUUUGUUUUUAUACAAUUACCAUCAUCACUUUGGGGAGGAACGGUCAAGGCACAACCUAGGUUGGCUGUUCUCUAAACGGGGCUCCGGGACUGUCCUGGGAUUUGGGGUCUGGGUACUGGGAUCAUUUGUGCCAUGGCAUGAGCCUCGCUGGGGAUUUCACCGCUCCGCUCAGUGCACUUCGAAAUGCUUUUACAGCCUCGCCAUUCCUCUGCAGAAGGCAGGCCCAAGGGAGCUCCAUCCAUUUGCUGCUCCUCGCUUGUCUCCGCAUCUCAUCGGCCCUGGCCUUGCGUCACCUUGAGUGUCCAAGGGACCGGCUCCCAGGUGACAAGACACUUCCAGCAUCCCUCUCCUUUCCCUGCUUUUUGUCAGGUUCUUCUCUCUUCUAAUAGCAUCCAAGCCAGACUUGCCUGCCUUCUUAUUUUUUUACUGCGCCGUAAAAGAGCCCCUCAUUAGGGCAGCCUGUAAUCUCAACACGGGGACAGCUAAUAACCCGCUGUAAAUUGCGAUCUGUCCUUUUGCACGCUCCGGCACACUCUCCUUCUGUUUGACUACAGAUGCAGGGAAAGGUGGGGGAAGGAGCCGUCAUUAGAGGAGAGCAAAAGAGUCCCAGCCUCUUUUAAUAACCUGGGCACGCCUCGGCUGCUCUUCCUCUCUCUUUCCCAUUCUCUCUAUUUCUCUUUGCAUUCCCGCCCUUCCCAUAUGAAUCCCUUCUAACCCCCCCAAAAAUCUGAAGGGUUAUGCAUAAGGUUUGUUAACUAUGAACCCUUCAAAUCUGUGCAACACACCUACGUUUUGCAACACUCUGCAAGGCCAUCUACACCAGGCCUGGUCCAACUUGAGCCCUCCAGGUGUUUUGGACUUGAACUCCCACAUACCGUGUUUCCCCGAAAAUAAGACAGCGUCUUAUAUUAAUUUUUGCUCCCAAAGAUGUGCUAGGUCUUAUUUUCAGGGGAUGUCUUAUUUUUCCAUGAAGAAGAUUUCACAUUUAUUGUUGAACAAAAAAAUGAACAUUUAUUAUAUACUGUACAGUAGCUGUCAUCACAAACCAGCAUAACCAGACAAACUGAAUCCUAUCAAGAAUUUCUUGUUACCAUUAUUUCCAUGUACAACUGGUAUGUACAUUUACCAAUCCUGAAUGCUCUGGUAUUCUGUUUGGCAGGCAUUGGGCAUGCUUCCAAACAAAAACUUUGCUAGGUCUUACUUUUGGGGGAGGCCUUAUAUUUAGCAAUUCAGCAAAACUUCUACUAGGUCUUAUUUUUCGGGGAUGUCUUAUUUUCGGGGAAACAGGGUAUCUGUGGAACAACAGGGGAAUUCCAGACAAGAAAUACACUACAUAUCAAUUAAAAUAGUUUUUCAAACGAUUCAAGUAUCAAAAGUCUAGCACCAACUGAGCUUUUUAAACACUGAACCAAUUGUGCUGUCGAAGGCUUUCAUGGCCGGAAUCACUGAGUGGUUGUGAGUUUUGGCCAUGUUCCAGAAGCAUUCUCUCCUGACAUUUGGCCCACAUCUAUGGCAGGCACCCUCAGAAGGUUGUGCAAUCUGUUGUCCCUCAACCUCUGAGGAUGCCUGCCAUAGAUGUGGGCGAAACGUUAGGAGAGAAUGCUUCUGGAACAUGGCCAGACAGCCCAGAAAACUCAUAGCAACCUGGUGAUUCCGACCAUGAAAGCCUUCAACAACUUAUUAGAGUUGUUUAAUAACCUAGACAGCCUAGUUAACGAUAAGUGAAGAAUGAAUCUGAUCCUGGCCAGUCAGGUCUUGCUUUUUGAACCAUUUAACCCAGGGGUCCCCAAACUAAGGCCCGGGGGCCUGAUGCGGCCCAUCGACGCUACUUAUCCGGCCCCCAUGGCACAAGGGCAGAAGGGGGUUGGACUAAAUGACCCAAGGGGUCUCUUCUUCUCUCACAACCAUUAUUAUUAUUAUUAUUAUUAUUAUUAUUAUUAUUAUUAUUAUUAUUAUUAUAUUGUAUGACACAGCAAACAAGAUAGAUAUGCUGGAUUUCGUAUCACAAAAUCACAUUAUUAUUAUUAUUAUUAUUAUUAUUAUUAUUAUUAUUAUUAACAUUGAGGCUGGGUGGCCAUCUGUCAGGGGUGCUUUGCUAGUGCUUUUGAUGCAGAAAGGCAGAAGGGGACAUAUUGUAUGACACAGCAAACAAGAUAGAUAUGCUGGAUUUCGUAUCACAAAAUCACAUUAUUAUUAUUAUUAUUAUUAUUAUUAUUAUUAUUAUUAUUAUUAUUAACAUUGAGGCUGGGUGGCCAUCUGUCAGGGGUGCUUUGCUAGUGCUUUUGAUGCAGAAAGGCAGAAGGGGAUUGGACUCAAUGGCCCAAAGGGUCUCUUCCAACCCUUAUUAUUAUUGUUGUUGUUGUUGUUGUUGUUGUUGUUGUUGUUGUUGUUGUUAUUAACAUUGAGGCUGGGUGGCCAUCUGUCAGGGGUGCUUUGCUUGUGCUUUUGGUGCACAAAGGCAGAAGGGGGUUGGACUUACUGGCCCAAGAGGUCUUUUCCAACCCUCUUUAUUAUUAUUAUUAUUAUUAAUAAUAAUAACAAUAAUAAUAAACAUUGAGGCUGGGUGGCCAUCUGUCAGGGGUGCUUUACUUGUCCUUUCAGUGCACAAAGGCAGAAGGGGAUUAGACUCAAUGGCCCAAAGGGUCUCUUCCAACCCUCUUUUGUUGUUGUUGUUGUUGUUGUUGUUGUUGUUGUUAUUAUUGAUUGGUGGCCAACUAUAGUCCGGCCCUCCAAUGGUCCGAAGGAUCAUGAACCGGCCCCCUGUUUAAAAAGUUUGGGGACCCCUGAUUUAACCAAUUGCUUUGCUGUUCUUCCGUCAUACUUAUGGGUCAUAUUAAUCCCCAAAGGCUUGCUUAAAUAGGCAAGUCUUAAGAUCCUUCCUGAAGCUUUAUGUACCCUCACUAGGCUGAAAUGCAUUGAUUUUUCCCUUUCCAGAAUUAAAAUAGAUAACAACAAUCCACGCAAUGGGAUUUUGGGCCGGCAAUCCCUUUCAAGGUAGCCCUAAUCAAUCCGUCAAUAGCCAUAUUGAUCCCAGAACCCGGAGCGGAGAGUCCUGUCCCUAUUAAAGGGCUUGCAACAAGAAACACAAUGUGCCGUAUGUAUUAUGGGAUGCGCCUUGUUCGGACCCGUGAGCGGCCGGACCGAAGCGAUGCCUUCUCCCUCCGUUUUCCCCACUUGCCCUAUAGAUCAAUAUCAAAUUAUCAUGUAUCACAUUCAUAACUCUUAAGCAAGCCGCGAUGGGGAGAGACAAGGUCGCUGGAGAAUAAAUCGCAGGCCCGGCCCGGCGCGAUCUAUCAUCCCCGGCACCUUGCGCCGGGGCCACUGACAAGAUCAUUAAUAAAACCCUGCCGUUGCCCGAUCGAUGGGUUUGAUGGAUGAGCCCAGGUAGCAAAUACAGUAAAACAGCUGCCUGUCACGCUUCGGUGAGGGAUGUCAGGCGGAGGGGGCUUUGUGCCGUUUUUUAGGAUCUUUAUAUUCUUUAUUUACGGAUUUCAAAGCCAUGCUGCUUUUGAACUUGGCCUCCUCGGUGGGGCAAGGAGAGAGACCUCCAGACCACUGACAUCUCCUCCGAGAGAAAGAAAGAAAGAAAGAAAGAAAGUGGGGAAGACACCUCCUUCUUCCUCCAGCGCUUCGCUCUUUAUAGCUGACAUUAUCUUUUAUUGCCAUAUAAAAUCCCAGGCUCCGGUGCCUUUAUUAUUGCCGCUUCUGCUGCUGCUGUUUUGGCAUUCAGGGCCACGGCUGCUGCAAGAAUGGCGGAUCUCAUCCCGUUCAAAGAGGGUUUGAUAAGGGUCUUCUUCACCUCUCCAAGAGUCCCAAUACUGCUAUUUAUUUAUUGAUUUACUAGCUGUGCCCGGCCACGCGUUGCUGUGGCAAAGUGGUGGUGGUAUUGGUUAAAAAUUGUGUAAUUUUUAUUUGACGUUAUUUGCAUUUUUUAAUUAAUUUUAUUGUAAGUUAUAUUUUUAUUUAUUAUAUUUUAUUAUUUUCUUGUAUUAUUUUUAGUUAUUUUCUGUUAUUAUAGUAUUUUAUUGUAUUAAUUUUUAGUGUUUUUUAUUAUUUUUUAUUGGGUUACUAGGAGACCAAGUUGGAGGAACUUAGCCUUCUAACUGGCAGCAAUUGGAUAAAAGCAAUUAUUCCUCUCUCUCAAAUUAGGACUUUAUUUUUCUUUUCUUUUUGUUGUAUCAACCUAGAGGCGUGGAUGAUGGGUUGUGUUGUCAAAUUUCGAGGUUGGGGGCCUGUAGUUUUGUUGUUUUGUGGGUUGCCGUGAUGCCAUCACUCUUUUAUAUAUAUAGAUUUACAGUAUUUAUAUUCCGCCCUUCUUUCUCACCCCGAAGGGGACUCAGGGCGGAUUACAAUGAACACAUACAUGGCAAACAUUCAAUGCAAGCAACAGACAAACAACAUAUAUAGACAGACACAGAGGCAUUUAACAUUCUUUUCCAGCUUCACAAUUCCGGCCACAGGGGGAGCUUUUGCCUCACUGUCCACUAGUGGAUGUACUUCCUCAUUCCUUUCCUCAUGUUUUGCUGGCAGUUUUAAUGAUGUUGUAAAUUAGUCAAAUUAGCCUCCUGCAUAAAGCGGACCUAAAUUUCCCUACUUCACAGAUGCAACUGUCUUUCGGGGCUGCAUAGGUCAACAGCAAGCUGGGCUAUUUAAUGGUCGGGGGCUUAACCCAACCCGGGCUUCGAACUCAUGACCUCUCGGUCAGUAGUGAUUUAUUGCAGCUGGUUACUAGCCAGCUGCGCCACAGCCCAGCCCGGCCAAAGGACAUCUAGUCUGACCACAUUUUGCCAUUCGGGAAGACACAUUCAAAGCCUUCCCGACAGAUGGCCAUCCAGCCUCUUUUGUUACAAUCAUAGAAUCCUAGAGUUGGAAGAGACCCCCCAAGGGUCAUCUAGUCUGACCCCAUUUUGUCAAACAGGAA